RNAcentral lists this ribosomal RNA (269 nucleotides) under uncultured archaeon. RNAcentral's name for it is "partial 16S ribosomal RNA". It matches the Rfam family "Archaeal small subunit ribosomal RNA", at positions 477 to 746 of the family's 1478-position model. The record is from RNAcentral.
CAGCACCUCAAGUGGUCAGGAUGAUUAUUGGGCCUAAAGCAUCCGUAGCCUGUUCUGUAAGUUUCCGGUUAAAUCCAUUAGCUCAACUAAUGGGCUGCCGAAAAUACUGCAGAACUAGGGAGUGGGAGAGGUAGACGGUACUCGGUAGGAAGGGGUAAAAUCCUUUGAUCUAUUGAUGACCACCUGUGGCGAAGGCGGUCUACCAGAACACGUUCGACGGUGAGGGAUGAAAGCUGGGGGAGCAAACCGGAUUAGAUACCCGAGUAGUC